RNAcentral lists this long non-coding RNA (839 nucleotides) under Homo sapiens (human). RNAcentral describes it as "non-protein coding LINC00917:7". Lineage: Eukaryota; Metazoa; Chordata; Mammalia; Primates; Hominidae. The record is from RNAcentral.
GACAGCCCCUCUGAUGAGGAGGCCACUGGGCUGAGACCAAUGAAUGAGAUGGAGCCAGCCACGUGGUGAGCCAGAAGAGGGCAUCACAGGGCUUGAGUCUGGGGGAGCCUGGCUGCCCAGAGGUGGCAGAUGACAUGAAGAAAUAACCAUGUAAGGGCUGGCUGUGUAUGAGAGCAAGCAUUGGGAAGGAUGAAUGCCAACUAUGUUCCAGGAACUUCCACUGUUCUCACACACCCAGGUGAGUGGUGUUCAGGUGGGUGGCACCCAGGUGAGUGACAUCCCAGUUGAGUGGCACCCAGGUGAGUAGCAUCCAGGUGAGUGACACCUAGGUGAGUGACAUUCAGGUUAGUGGCGUCUGUGUGAGUGGCAUCAUCCAGGUGAGUAGCUUCCAGGUGAGUGGCACCCAGGUGAGUGGCAUUCGGGUGAGUGGCAUUAUCCAGGUGACACCUGGGUGAGUGGCAUCCAGGUGAGUGAUAUCAUCCAGGUAAGUGGCACCUAGGUGACAUCCAGGUGAGUGACGACAUCCAGGUGAGUGACAUCAUCCAGGUAAAUGGCACCCAGGUGAGUAGCAUUCAGGUGAGUGACACCCAGGCGAGUGGCAUCCACGUGACUAGCAUUGUCCAGGUGCAUAACACCCAGGUGAGUGGCACCCAGUUGAGUGGUGCCCAAGUGAGUCACAUCCAGGUAAGUGGGGUCCAGGUGGUGGCACCCAGGCGAGUGGUGCCCAGGUGAGUGACAGCCAGGUGAAUGGUGUCCAGGUGAGUGGCAUCACCCAGGUGAAUGGUGUCCAGGUGAGUGGCAUCCAGGUAAGUGGUGUCCAGGUGGUGGCACCCAGGUGA